AGAGAGAGAGACAUGGAGCUGCUUUCUCCGGCAGAGGCUGUGAUAGGUUUCAGAGAGCGGCGCUCAGAGCCGGUGUGUGGGAGCCUCGCUGGUAGAAAGGAGCGGAGAGAAUUCACAAGUCCCGGCUAGAGGUACUCAUGGAGUUCCUGACUCAAUAGAUUUGCCAACUGUUGGUUGGGACGAUGGUUGGUCAGCCAGAAAGACAAAGUCAUGGAGUCUUCAAUCAAUCCUGCUGCCAGGGUUCCCAGUGUGUUGUUUAUCCUAUUGGUGAGCUGCGGGGUGGGGUCAAACACCACGCAAUUUCAUCCACAGAUGCC
Hemiscyllium ocellatum (epaulette shark) is the source of this 317-nucleotide long non-coding RNA. RefSeq lists it as uncharacterized. Lineage: Eukaryota; Metazoa; Chordata; Chondrichthyes; Orectolobiformes; Hemiscylliidae. The record is from RefSeq and is a predicted model, not a curated record. The transcript has 3 exons.